GCUCUACUCCUUACUCAUAACAGACUCAUCCUCAAAUUCUGGAGCUGAGAUAUACAUAAUUAACUCCUAAAGUAGACUGCUUAUAAUUCUGAUUAUAUUCAGGGGACUGCAGCAUAAAAUGUUAAGUGAGUCUUACAGGAGAAAUUUCCGGUGAUGCUUUCUGCAUAUUAGAUAUUGUGGGGACUCAUGACGGUUUUUCAUGGCAUAGUUCUAGCUUUUAGGCACCUAUAUUCAGCAGAUGUGUAGCUGAGGUCUCUUCGUCAUUUCUUUCUGGCCAAAAGGCUUCUUUUCCUU
Molecule: unclassified non-coding RNA, 294 nt
Filed under: Hevea brasiliensis (rubber tree)
Lineage: Eukaryota; Viridiplantae; Streptophyta; Magnoliopsida; Malpighiales; Euphorbiaceae
Source: RNAcentral